AGUGAACGCUGGCGGUAGGCCUAACACAUGCAAGUCGAACGGCAGCACAGUAAGAGCUUGCUCUUACGGGUGGCGAGUGGCGGACGGGUGAGGAAUACAUCGGAAUCUACUUUUUCGUGGGGGAUAACGUAGGGAAACUUACGCUAAUACCGCAUACGACCUACGGGUGAAAGCAGGGGAUCUUCGGACCUUGCGCGAUUGAAUGAGCCGAUGUCGGAUUAGCUAGUUGGCGGGGUAAAGGCCCACCAAGGCGACGAUCCGUAGCUGGUCUGAGAGGAUGAUCAGCCACACUGGGACUGAGACACGGUCCAGACUCCUACGGGAGGCAGCAGUGGGGAAUAUUGGACAAUGGGCGCAAGCCUGAUCCAGCCAUACCGCGUGGGUGAAGAAGGCCUUCGGGUUGUAAAGCCCUUUGUUGGGAAAGAAAAGCAGCAGGUUAAUACCCCGCUGUUCUGACGGUACCCAAAGAAUAAGCACCGGCUAACUUCGUG
RNAcentral lists this ribosomal RNA (491 nucleotides) under uncultured bacterium. RNAcentral's name for it is "partial 16S ribosomal RNA". It matches the Rfam family "Bacterial small subunit ribosomal RNA", at positions 29 to 507 of the family's 1533-position model. The record is from RNAcentral.